Molecule: long non-coding RNA, 2135 nt
Organism: Macrobrachium nipponense
Lineage: Eukaryota; Metazoa; Arthropoda; Malacostraca; Decapoda; Palaemonidae
Exons: 2
Source: RefSeq, a predicted model, not a curated record
AACUCAACGAAUGAAAGUAGUGCAUUAGUUUUCUACGUUUUCCUGGGAAAGUGUUAACAAACUGUGUUUUCUUUUUCUUGAAGAAUCUCUUAUGGAAAGAAUGAAGGACAUAAUGAUGAAUUUUCAUUGACUUUUCCGGAAAGUACUUUAUUAAACCCCGCCAUCCAUAAUUUCCAACGUGCGGACACAACAGGACACCUCUUUUUAAGAACCAAAAGGCCGAAAAGAAAUUCGCAGACUUCCUCACAAUUUGAUUAUAAGGGAAAAUUGUCGAGAAGAGAGAACAGUGAUGAGGAUGAUGAUGAAGAUAUAUGUCUCGACCACCAGCAAGUUACAAGUGGAUUAACUUCUGACUGUAGAUCCUACGCGUUUGGUGUUGGUCUAAGGAACGAGUGUGGCCACAAGAAAGGCGACUUCAUUUGGGAUCGCGAGAGGAAGAAAGACACUAGACGCACUUCAAAACAGGUACUACCCACGAGACAGGUGUACAACCUGGCAGCGAGCAAAGGAACCAACAGUGGUCUGUAAGAAAGCAAUCGUGGAGAAUUGACGUAUAAGCACUCAUUUCAAUUUAUUCAUUUAUUUAUUGACCCCUUUCUGUUUGCCUCCUCUGUGCGCAACCCCUAACAAGUUAGAUUGGAUUCUUCCAGCAGAGACUAUAACGUUAUAUAAUUCUAUAUGGGAACAUUAUCCAUCUUCAGGGUUUCUCAUAAAUAAUUCGAGGUCGCCGUAAUCUAGCUUAGUUGAUCCGUAAAAGCCAGAAGAUUACAAAUUUAUUAGUUGAUAAGUUGAUGAAAACAAUGUCUCUAAUUAAAAACUGCUCUAAAACAGAUAUCAUAAACCUAAUGGUUUAUGAUAUCUGUUGUAGGUAUUUCAAUAAUUAUGUUACAAGAGGUCUUCCAUGAGUUUUAAGGUGUUUUUAGUUUUGUAAAUUCUCCGUAAUAUUCGUUGAAGGUGAUUUUCAGGUUGGUUAUUGCUUCACUCGUUCGUAGCAUUAACCACUAGAUAAAAUCAGCCAAAAUAAUACUCCAUUAGAUCUCAAGUAUGCGGUUUAUCUCAUUUUUUAUUCGUAUUUAUUAGUUAACUCAUUUACGCCUUUUAAUUGGCCCUUCAGUAAAGAAUCUUCAUUCUUCCUACCUGAGUGUCUAUUUAUGUGCCAUAAUGACAUUCUCAUUUCGCUGAAACGCCCUUAGAGAAUUCUAACCAUUCUCUCGGUCUUGUUCCCUUUUGGGCAAAAAGCUUCUUUGACCUGAUGAAUGUCUUCAUCGAAGUAGAUCUGGGUCUUCCAACUCAUCUGGUGCCCAUGGGAGCCCCCAGUUGACUAUUGCAUCUCAUUUUCACUCCGGUUGGAACAAAUUACUUCUCCAGGCUUCGUCCGUCUUCCAUUUAGCAUCUUCUCGUCUACGCACAUCCGGAGCUUCCGAAGGUCUCCUUACAGUAUUCUUUCUCUCUCGAUCCUACCACUUGACUCUUAAGUAUUUCACUAUAUUUCACCUGAGAGAGAACCUGCACCCGAUAUCAUUGUUACUGAAUGCUCGAGACUAUCUCUAAUCCUUUUCCCAACUAGUAUUAUUUCACCCUUUUGUCCAUGUUAUACUGUUAAUCAAAUAACCUUUGUGAAUCUUGUGGUAUUUUGAUGAGGAAAAAAGCAUCAUAUGUGUAUUUCGAAGUCUCUCUGUAUUAGUACCCAAAUCUAAACCCUCUCUUCCAAUACCAACCACUCUUUCAUUAUGAUUGUUCAAACCAACAUAAAAAUAUAUAUCGAAUUAUUCAUCCUAUAAUAUAGAAAUAAAACUGUGUGCUUGUAAAUUCUGUACUACUACGUUAAUUUCAUUAAGUAAUUUGUAUGGCUUUAAAUAGCGUUAAUGUUGCGGGGCAGGGGGGGGGGGGGAGAUAAUCUUAAGAUUAGCUUAGUUCCAUGAAUUAUUUUCAACAAACGAGCUUUCCAACCACCUAAGGUAACCCAAUUCUCCAUGGAGCAUCUUAGAAAGGAAUCGUGCCAAAAAGGUGAAAGUAGCCCGAGCAAAUCUCUGUAAAAAACUGGUUCAUUCUGCCUUUGUAUCCCCUUUGAACUUGGUAGGAAUGAUGGACUUUUUCACUUUCAUGUAAUAAAUAAAAUUAAAAAGAAUAAAUUU